This 728-nucleotide ribosomal RNA is filed under the name uncultured bacterium. RNAcentral's name for it is "bacterial SSU rRNA". It matches the Rfam family "Bacterial small subunit ribosomal RNA", at positions 132 to 856 of the family's 1533-position model. The record is from RNAcentral.
UGAGGUGGGGGAUAACCCGGGGAAACUCGGGCUAAUACCGCAUAAGACCGUGAGGUCAAAGGGGGGUCGCAAGAUCUCUCGCCAUAGGAGGAGUCCGCGUUCGAUUAGCUAGUUGGUAGGGUAAUGGCCUACCAAGGCGACGAUCGAUAGCCGGCCUGAGAGGGUGAUCGGCCACACUGGAACUGAGACACGGUCCAGACUCCUACGGGAGGCAGCAGUGGGGAAUUUUGCGCAAUGGGCUAACGCCUGACGCAGCAACGCCGCGUGGAGGAUGAAGGUCCUUGGAUUGUAAACUCCUGUCAGCAGGGAAAAAGCAACCUGACCUCAUACGUCAGGAAGUUGAUUGUACCUGCAGAGGAAGCCCCGGCUAACUCUGUGCCAGCAGCCGCGGUAAUACAGAGGGGGCAAGCGUUAUUCGGAAUUAUUGGGCGUAAAGGGCGCGUAGGCGGCCUGGCAAGUGGAUGGUGAAAUCCCUCGGCUUAACCGAGGAACUGCCAUCCAGACUGCUAGGCUUGAGACCGGGAGAGGUGAGUGGAAUUCCCAGUGUAGCGGUGAAAUGCGUAGAUAUUGGGAGGAACACCAGUGGCGAAGGCGGCUCACUGGACCGGUACUGACGCUGAGGCGCGAAAGCGUGGGGAGCAAACGGGAUUAGAUACCCCGGUAGUCCACGCCGUAAACGAUGAGUGCUUGGUGUAGCGGGUAUCGACCCCUGCUGUGCCGAAGUCAAC